Molecule: non-coding RNA, 2088 nt
Organism: Zootermopsis nevadensis
Lineage: Eukaryota; Metazoa; Arthropoda; Insecta; Blattodea; Termopsidae
Source: RefSeq, a predicted model, not a curated record
AGAACGUUAAUGUGCAGCUGCGUGGUUUUGGAGGCCGGCCUAAACUUUGUAUUUGUGUGGAAGGAAGGAAGGAAUAACUUGAAGCGGAAACAAUAAUAUAAAUGAGUUAUGGUCUGGAUUGAAGUGUCAGAGUUUCGGGUUUCCUUGGUGAACGAGGAUCAUCUCCGGACUACACAGCAACAACUCGUGCUGUUUCCAUCAUCGCUGUCCGUGUUAGCUCGUGAGGUCUACAGCCUCGGACAGAGGCCGAGUCUUUGUGAUCAAGGGAAGGUCAGUACGCCAGGAUUGCCGGAUGAGCUGCACGUGUCUCCAUCCUCGUUCCGAGAGCAAUAAAUUGUGGAUUCCUCCGGUGUUUAUGGUUUCAGAAAGAAGGUACUAAAUCUUCUCGAGAUUCCAAGAGCUGAAACAUGUAUGUGACAUAUCACGUAUAUAAAGAUCCACAUUUACGCAAUAUUAAUGGCUUUGUAACCUCUUCAACUGGACGUCAGUCAGAGCCAGCCCAGAAUCUGUCUGCUAGGUUCUUCUACAGCCUUUUUUUUUACGUCGGCUCUGCGCGUUGACAAGUUGAUGGUCGCUGGAUUGAGCCCCAAGAUGUUGCUGUAUCACCUUCGCAAUUCGUACUCUGCACGUGCGAAUUCAGAAACAUGGGAUGGGCGAGACAUAUCGCACGCAUGGGUGACUGCGCGGAGUGUAUUCAAAUGGUUCAUAGAGAUCCUAAUGUUUCUGUGGCAGUGGGUUUCUUGGAGUUAGGGCUUACCGUCUAGAUUAUAAAUCCGACGUUUCGGUGACUUCCUCAAACUCCAUCAUCACUAAUGUCAUGAGUUGACAAUUUGUCGGUAGAGCUUUCUCUCUGAACACCUAAUACACUAUACGCACACAUGUAGCAUUUGUUGUUAGAGUUGCAACGUUAGUGCAAAAAUGUUCCUAAGCCAUCGUUAGAACAGACUUUCGGAAUAAUGGCGUUGAAUCACAUUUGUGCAACGCUGACCUACGUCAUGUGACGUGAAGAACGCCAGUGCACUCCAAACAGCGCUCCUUUCCAAUCUGUACUCAAUUUUGAACGUGAUGGUGCGGACUAGUUAGAAGAUUGAUUUUCUCGAUUAAUCGUGAGUCGGAACAUCGAAAGGGCCUGACUGAGAGCACAAGAGGGUGAUGACGUCAGCUUAGCCACUGCUGUGGAUUCACGCGUUUUGCAUUCAUCCUUAUCGCUGGUCACCAAACUAACAAAUCAGCUUUAACGUGGCUCUGUGAGUAAGCGGAAGACCUCGUAGGGCCACUUUGUGGUCGGUCACUUUAUGAGGGGCAUAAAACCCUUCCCCGGAGGGAAGGAGCAAACUUCCAGCCGGAGCGGACUCAUUUUAAGUCCUCACUGGAGAGCAGACCGGCCUUCUGCGUACGACCGGAUUUAAAGUUGGGCCUUGAACGUGGGAGGGAGCGCAGAGCCUUCAGUCAGUCAGGGCUCUUGGGCGCGGUGAAUCUAAUUACGGAAGUUGAUGUAUAAAUCUCGGAGAUUAUAUGAAAACACGCGAAUUCGAGACUCCGUGUUACUGGGCGGGAAAAAGAGAUGAACUGAGGUCCCCCCAUACUUUGACGCAGCUCGUGCUCAAAUAUAGUUUGCGUCCAAUAUUUUCGUCUUCACGUUUUCAGUUUAGCGAUGCUGAAGUUUCAGAAUCGGUACAGAAGGCGUACCCAAACUCACCUUGUUAACGGAAGGGACCCUAGAGACCGAGUUUCAGGCAUUAAAUACGACACGAUUCAAAAUUUCACUUAAAUUGGUUUCGGUUUAAUGUUUCCGAUGUGCUGACAGUCGGACACAAUGACGAGAGGAUGGAGAAAAUUACGUAACGAAGAGCUUCAUAAGUUCAUCUUCACGAAAUGCUCUCACAGCGACGAUGUUAGGAAGGACGCGAGAGGAAAUAAGAAAUGCGUUCAGAAUUUUUGUAAGGACGCGGAAAGGGAGAAUGAGAACAGGAAGACGAAGGGGCUGAUGGGAACGUAAUAUUAAAAAGGAUCUUGCAGAAAUACUGUGUGAAUGAGUGGACUCGCUUAAAGUGACUCAUUACAGGACACAGUGACGAUGUUUUUUGA